GAUGAACGCUGGCGGCGUGCCUAAUACAUGCAAGUCGAGCGAACGGACGAGAAGCUUGCUUCUCUGAUGUUAGCGGCGGACGGGUGAGUAACACGUGGAUAACCUACCUAUAAGACUGGGAUAACUUCGGGAAACCGGAGCUAAUACCGGAUGAUAUUUUGAACCGCAUGGUUCAAAAGUGAAAGACGGUCUUGCUGUCACUUAUAGAUGGAUCCGCGCUGCAUUAGCUAGUUGGUAAGGUAACGGCUUACCAAGGCAACGAUGCAUAGCCGACCUGAGAGGGUGAUCGGCCACACUGGAACUGAGACACGGUCCAGACUCCUACGGGAGGCAGCAGUAGGGAAUCUUCCGCAAUGGGCGAAAGCCUGGCGGAGCAACGCCGCGUGAGUGAUGAGGGUCUUCGGAUCGUAAAACUCUGUUAUUAGGGAAGAACAUAUGUGUAAGUAACUGUGCACAUCUUGACGGUACCUAAUCAGAAAGCCACGGCUAACUACGUG
Molecule: ribosomal RNA, 497 nt
Filed under: uncultured bacterium
Lineage: Bacteria
Description: partial 16S ribosomal RNA
Rfam family: Bacterial small subunit ribosomal RNA
Source: RNAcentral